GACGAACGCUGGCGGCGUGCUUAACACAUGCAAGUCGAACGGUAAGGCCCUUCGGGGUACACGAGUGGCGAACGGGUGAGUAACACGUGGGUGAUCUGCCCUGCACUUCGGGAUAAGCCUGGGAAACUGGGUCUAAUACCGGAUAGGACUCCGGACGGCAUGGUCGGGGGUGGAAAGCUUUUGCGGUGUGGGAUGGGCCCGCGGCCUAUCAGCUUGUUGGUGGGGUGAUGGCCUACCAAGGCGACGACGGGUAGCCGGCCUGAGAGGGUGACCGGCCACACUGGGACUGAGAUACGGCCCAGACUCCUACGGGAGGCAGCAGUGGGGAAUAUUGCACAAUGGGCGCAAGCCUGAUGCAGCGACGCCGCGUGAGGGAUGACGGCCUUCGGGUUGUAAACCUCUUUCAGCAUCGACGAAGCGAAAGUGACGGUAGGUGCAGAAGAAGGACCGGCCAACUACGUGCCAGCAGCCGCAGUAA
This 478-nucleotide ribosomal RNA is filed under the name uncultured bacterium. RNAcentral describes it as "partial 16S ribosomal RNA". It matches the Rfam family "Bacterial small subunit ribosomal RNA", at positions 28 to 523 of the family's 1533-position model. The record is from RNAcentral.